RNAcentral lists this ribosomal RNA (519 nucleotides) under uncultured eukaryote. Its description in RNAcentral is "SSU rRNA". It matches the Rfam family "Eukaryotic small subunit ribosomal RNA", at positions 1161 to 1703 of the family's 1831-position model. The record is from RNAcentral.
AGGGCACCACCAGGAGUGGAGCCUGCGGCUUAAUUUGACUCAACACGGGAAAUCUCACCAGGCCCGGACACCGGAAGGAUUGACAGAUUGAGAGCUCUUUCUUGAUUCGGUGGGUGGUGGUGCAUGGCCGUUCUUAGUUGGUGGAGCGAUUUGUCUGGUUAAUUCCGAUAACGAACGAGACUCUGGCCUACUAACUAGACGAUAUAUCCUUUAUGGGUUUAUCGCAGCUUCUUAGAGGGACGGGCGGCGUUUAGCCGCACGAGAAUGAGCAAUAACAGGUCUGUGAUGCCCUUAGAUGUUCUGGGCUGCACGCGCGCUACACUGAAGAAAUCAGCGUGUGCUCCCUACCCGAAAGGGUUGGGAAACCCGUUGAACCUUCUUCGUGAUGGGGAUUGGAGAUUGCAAUUAUUCUCCAUGAACGAGGAAUUCCCAGUAGGCGCGAGUCAUAAGCUUGCGUCGAUUACGUCCCUGCCCUUUGUACACACCGCCCGUCGCUACUACCGAUUGAGUGAUUUAGUG